RNAcentral lists this transfer RNA (73 nucleotides) under Mus musculus (house mouse). It matches the Rfam family "tRNA". From Rfam's summary of the family: Transfer RNA (tRNA) molecules are approximately 80 nucleotides in length. Their secondary structure includes four short double-helical elements and three loops (D, anti-codon, and T loops). Lineage: Eukaryota; Metazoa; Chordata; Mammalia; Rodentia; Muridae. The record is from Rfam by way of RNAcentral. RNAcentral also lists the same sequence under 1 other name.
ACAGAUGUGGCUCAGUGGUUUAGAGCACUGGCUGCUCCUGUGGAGGGUGUGGGUUCAAUUCCCAGCACCCGUC